UGCAGUCGAGCGCGAAUAGGGGCAACCCUUAGUAGAGCGGCGCACGGGUGCGUAACACGUGGAUAAUCUGCCUGGAUGCUCGGGAUAACCAGUCGAAAGAUUGGCUAAUACCGGAUAAGCCCACGGUUUCUUCGGAGACUGAGGGAAAAGGUGGCCUCUGUAUACAAGCUAUCACAACCAGAUGAGUCCGCGGCCCAUCAGCUAGUUGGCGGGGUAAUGGCCCACCAAGGCAACGACGGGUAGCUGGUCUGAGAGGACGAUCAGCCACACUGGAACUGAGACACGGUCCAGACUCCUACGGGAGGCAGCAGUGGGGAAUUUUGCGCAAUGGGCGAAAGCCUGACGCAGCAACGCCGCGUGUGUGAUGAAGGUCUUCGGAUUGUAAAGCACUUUCGACCGGGACGAAAACCCGUAGCCCAACACGCUACGGCUUGACGGUACCGGGAGAAGAAGCACCGGCUAACUCUGUGCCAGCAGCCGCGGUAAUACAGAGGGUGCAAGCGUUGUUCGGAAUUAUUGGGCGUAAAGCGCGUGUAGGCGGCGUGACAAGUCGGGUGUGAAAGCCCUCAGCUCAACUGAGGAAGUGCGCCCGAAACUGUCGUGCUUGAGUGCCGGAGAGGGUGGCGGAAUUC
This 632-nucleotide ribosomal RNA is filed under the name Myxococcus sp. Its description in RNAcentral is "bacterial SSU rRNA". It matches the Rfam family "Bacterial small subunit ribosomal RNA", at positions 56 to 669 of the family's 1533-position model. Lineage: Bacteria; Pseudomonadati; Myxococcota; Myxococcia; Myxococcales; Myxococcaceae. The record is from RNAcentral.